UACGGAGGGAGCUAGCGUUGUUCGGAAUUACUGGGCGUAAAGCGCACGUAGGCGGCUUUGUAAGUUAGAGGUGAAAGCCCGGAGCUCAACUCCGGAACUGCCUUUAAGACUGCAUCGCUUGAAUCCAGGAGAGGUGAGUGGAAUUCCGAGUGUAGAGGUGAAAUUCGUAGAUAUCUGGAGGAACACCGGUGGCGAAGGCGGCAUCCUGGACCGAUAUUGACGCUGAUGCGCGAAAGCCAGGGGAGCAAAGCGGGAUUAGAUG
Molecule: ribosomal RNA, 262 nt
Filed under: uncultured bacterium
Lineage: Bacteria
Description: partial 16S ribosomal RNA
Rfam family: Bacterial small subunit ribosomal RNA
Source: RNAcentral